UACGUAGGCAGCGAGCGUUGUUCGGAGUUACUGGGCGUAAAGGGUGUGUAGGCGGUUGUUUAAGUUUGGUGUGAAAUCUCCCGGCUCAACUGGGAGGGUGCGCCGAAUACUGAAUAACUAGAGUGCGGGAGAGGAAAGUGGAAUUCCUGGUGUAGCGGUGAAAUGCGUAGAUAUCAGGAGGAACACCGGUGGUGUAGACGGCUUUCUGGACCGUAACUGACGCUGAGGCACGAAAGCGUGGGUAGCAAACAGG
Molecule: ribosomal RNA, 253 nt
Filed under: uncultured bacterium
Lineage: Bacteria
Description: partial 16S ribosomal RNA
Rfam family: Bacterial small subunit ribosomal RNA
Source: RNAcentral